This 74-nucleotide transfer RNA is filed under the name Danionella cerebrum. RNAcentral describes it as "tRNA-Val". It matches the Rfam family "tRNA". Rfam says of the family: Transfer RNA (tRNA) molecules are approximately 80 nucleotides in length. Their secondary structure includes four short double-helical elements and three loops (D, anti-codon, and T loops). The record is from RNAcentral. Lineage: Eukaryota; Metazoa; Chordata; Actinopteri; Cypriniformes; Danionidae.
GCUUUCCUGUGGCUCAGUUGGUAAAGCGUUGCGCUAACAGUGCAAAGGUUUUGGGUUCAUAUCCCAGGGAAGCC